GCGAAUGGCUCAUUAAAUCAGCUAUGGUUUAUUGGAUCGUACCCGUCAAAUGGAUAACUGUAAUAACUCUAGAGCUAAUACAUGCCACGAAGCCCUGACUUGUGUCGCUCUUUGGGGCGGUACAGGGAUGGGUGCUCUUAUUAGAUCAGAAACCAACCGAGUCGUGGCCAGCUUGCUGGUUAUGGCUUGUUGUCGUUCUGGUGACUCUGGAUAAUUGUUACAGAUCGCAGUCGGCCUUGAGUCGGCGACGGGUCCUUCAAAUGUCUGCCCUAUCAACUUUCGAUGGUAGGCAAUCUGCCUACCAUGGUGAUAACGGGUAACGGGGAAUCAGGGUUCGAUUCCGGAGAGGGAGCCUGAGAAACGGCUACCACUUCCAAGGGAGGCAGCAGGCGCGCAAAUUACCCACUCCCGGUACGGGGAGGUGGUGACGAAAAAUACCGAUGCGGGACUCUUCAAGAGGCUCCGUAAUCGGAAUGAGUGAACUCUAAAUCCUUUCACGAGGAUCAAUUGGAGGGCAAGUCUGGUGCCAGCAGCCGCGGUAACUCCAGCUCCAAUAGCGUAUAUUAAAGUUGCUGCAGUUAAAAAGCUCGUAGUUGGAUCUCGGUUGCACUGUUGCCCGCCAUUGCUUGACCAGAUGGGUGCCCGGUGUUGCAUUGGCCGAGUGCCGUGUUCGCCGUCGGUGUCCGACUGUUGCCAAGUUGGUGUGGUGUCGGUGUCACCUUUUAGCCAUGUCUGUGGUGAAAUACCCACAGGUGUAGGCGAGUGUCGGGCGGUGCCUUGCACACGUAGGGUCCGUCGGCUCGUCUGCAUGCCUUUGGAUGCCCUUCAAAAGGUGUCUGUGGGCGGAUGGCACGUUUACUUUGAACAAAUUUGAGUGCUCAAACCAGGCCGCUGUAGCCUGAAAAGUUUUGCAUGGAAUAAUGGAAUAGGACUUCGGUUCUAUUUUGUUGGUUUUCGGAUCCGAAGUAAUGAUCAAAAGAGACAGGCGGGGACGUUUGUAUGGUUGCGCUAGAGGUGAAAUUCAUGGACCGUAACCAGACAGACUAAAGCGAAAGCAUUCGUCAAGCAUGUUUUCAUUGGCCAUGAGCGAAAGUCAGAGGCUCGAAGACGAUCAGAUACCGUCCUAGUUCUGACCAUAAACGAUGCCAACUGACGAUCCGUGGUGGUAGUUUAAUAACCGUCCCCACGGGCAGCCCCCGGGAAACCUUUAAGUCUAUGGGUUCCGGGGGAAGUAUGGUUGCAAAGCUGAAACUUAAAGGAAUUGACGGAAGGGCACCACCAGGAGUGGAGCCUGCGGCUUAAUUUGACUCAACACGGGAAAACUCACCCGGGCCGGACACUGUGAGGAUUGACAGAUUGAAAGCUCUUUCUUGAUUUGGUGGUUGGUGGUGCAUGGCCGUUCUUAGUUGGUGGAGCGAUUUGUCUGGUUAAUUCCGAUAACGAACGAGACUCUAGCCUGCUAAUUAGUGCGCCUGUCCUCUGUUCCUGUGCAGGCGGCUCUCAGCGCUACUGCCUUGCUAUGCUAGGCUGCCUGUGUGCGGUGCGCUCACAGUCGGUUGCCUUGCCAGUGUGCCGGUACGUGCGUCUGCGUGCGCGUGCGCUCAUGUCGAGUCGGCAUGUUUGUCUCACGACGAUGGCUGGCUUGUGUGGGUGUGUGUGUGUGCGACCGUGUGCUGGUGCGCCGGUGUUCGGGUGGCUGGCUAACAAGUGGGUGUGCAUGCGCUUGGUGGUCCGGUUGAGGCGGUGGAGUUCGGGCUUGCUUCCGGGUACGGCGCAGGUGUCUACUUCUUAGAGGGACAAGCAUACACAAAUGCACGAGAUUGAGCAAUAACAGGUCUGUGAUGCCCUUAGAUGUCCGGGGCCGCACGCGCGCUACAAUGACGGUGCCAACGAGUCUGACCUCCUGGCCCGAAAGGGUUGGGCAAACUGGUCAAUCACCGUCAUGUCAGGGAUCGGGGCUUGGAAUUGUUCCCCGUGAACCAGGAAUUCCUAGUAAGUGCAAGUCAUAAGCUUGCGCUGAUUACGUCCCUGCCCUUUGUACACACCGCCCGUCGCUACUACCGAUUGAAUGGUUUAGUAAGGUCCUUGGAUCGGUGCCAUUGCAGCGGCUGCCGCAAGGCAUGCCCGCUCGACAGGCGCUGAGAAGACGACCAAACUUGAUCAUUUAGAGGAAGUAAAAGUCGUAACAAG
RNAcentral lists this ribosomal RNA (2190 nucleotides) under Wenyonia virilis. RNAcentral's name for it is "SSU rRNA". It matches the Rfam family "Eukaryotic small subunit ribosomal RNA". Lineage: Eukaryota; Metazoa; Platyhelminthes; Cestoda; Caryophyllidea; Caryophyllaeidae. The record is from RNAcentral.